AAUUUCCGCGGGGGCGUCAAAGCUUACCAAAGAAUAUCAAACUCCGAAUGCCAUGUAGAUGAUGAUCGGGAGUCAGACUGCACGAGAUAAGUUGGGCAGUCAAAAGGGAAAGAGCCCAGACCACCGGCUAAGGUCCCAAAGUGUGUGUUAAGUGGAAAAGGAUGUGGGAAUUCGAAGACAACUAGGAUGUUGGCUCAGAAGCAGCCAUACAUUCAAAGAGUGCGUAACAGCUCACUAGUCGAGAGUUCCUGCGCCGAAAAUGUCCGGGGCUGAAACACGACACCGAAGCCGUGGACUCGCAAUGCGAGUGGUAGAGGAGCAUUCUUAAAACCGACGAAGCUGUACCGAAAGGAGCAGUGGAGGGAUAAGAAGAGAGAAUGCCGGAAUGAGUAGCGAGAGAAAGGUGGGAAUCCUUUCGGCCGAAUAUCUAAGGUUUCCAGAGUAAAGCUGAUCUGCUCUGGGUAAGUCGGGGCCUAAGCACAGGUCGCAAGACGUAAGCGAUGGAUAACAGGUUUAGAUUCCUGUACCACGCAUUAUCAGAACUGUAGGGACGCAUGUGGAAAGCACGGGCCGGGAAUGGAAAGACCGGUACAAGCGAGGUAGGUGUACGAUAGGCAAAUCCGUCGUAUAAUCCGAAGACGUGAUGUGGAGCGAAAUAAAGUAGUGAAGCGUGUGAGCCAUGUGCCGAGAAAAGCUGCUAUUGUGUAAUGCGUGCCCGUACCGUAAACCGACACAGGUGGAUGAGGAGAGAAUCCUAAGGCCGGCGGAAGAAGCAUUGUUAAGGAAUUCGGCAAAAUGACCCCGUAACUUCGGGAGAAGGGGUGCCUGCGAGAGCAGGCCGCAGAGAAUAGGCUCAAGCAACUGUUUAGCAAAAACACAGGUCUAUGCGAAACCGAAAGGUGAAGUAUAUGGGCUGACGCCUGCCCGGUGCUGGAAGGUUAAGAGGAGAGGUUAGCGCAAGCGAAGCUUUGAAUUUAAGCCCCAGUAAACGGCGGCCGUAACUAUAACGGUCCUAAGGUAGCGAAAUUCCUUGUCGGGUAAGUUCCGACCCGCACGAAAGGCGUAAUGAUUUGAGCACUGUCUCGACAAUGCAUCCGGUGAAAUUGAAGUACCAGUGAAGAUGCUGGUUACCCGCGCCAGGACGGAAAGACCCCAUGGAGCUUUACUCCAGUUUGAUACUGGGAUUCGGUACUGCAUGUACAGGAUAGGUGGGAGACGAAGAAGGAUGGACGCCAGUCUGUCCGGAGUCGCUGUUGGGAUACCACCCCUGUAGUACUGGGUUUCUAACCAGUUGCCAUGAACUGGCAAUGGGACAAUGUCAGGCGGGGAGUUUGACUGGGGCGGUCGCCUCCGAAAGGGUAUCGGAGGCGCUCAAAGGUUCCCUCAGAAUGGUUGGAAACCAUUUGAAGAGUGCAAAGGCAGAAGGGAGCUUGACUGCGACACCGACGGGUGGAGCAGGUACGAAAGUAGGACUUAGUGAUCCGGUGGUAUAAAGUGGGAUUGCCAUCGCUCAACGGAUAAAAGCUACCCUGGGGAUAACAGGCUUAUCACUCCCAAGAGUUCACAUCGACGGAGUGGUUUGGCACCUCGAUGUCGGCUCAUCGCAUCCUGGGGCUGUAGCAGGUCCCAAGGGUUGGGCUGUUCGCCCAUUAAAGCGGUACGCGAGCUGGGUUCAGAACGUCGUGAGACAGUUCGGUCCCUAUCCGGCGCGGGCGGAGGAUAUUUGAGAGGAGCUGUCCUUAGUACGAGAGGACCGGGAUGGACGGACCACUGGUGUAUCUGCUGUCGACCAACGGCAUGGCAGAGUAGCCAAGUCCGGAAGGGAUAAACGCUGAAGGCAUCUAAGCGUGAAGCCCCCCUCAAGAUGAGAUAUCCCUCACAUAAGUGGGUAAGAUCCCUUGA
This 1902-nucleotide ribosomal RNA is filed under the name human gut metagenome. RNAcentral describes it as "bacterial LSU rRNA". It matches the Rfam family "Bacterial large subunit ribosomal RNA", at positions 913 to 2841 of the family's 2925-position model. The record is from RNAcentral.